CCCGGGCGGGAGAACGCGGCAACGGAAGGGACCAGGACGCGCCGCCUCGCUGGCUCUCCGCAGGCCGCCUCCUAGCUUUUGAUUUUAAACAUUUUAGGUGUUUUCUUUCUUUCUCUCUUUUCUUUUCUCCCGUCUCAUUUCUCCCCGCCUUCGGGUUCCAGCAGAGCCGAGGAAGCCCUCAGAAUAAGAAAGGAAGUGGGUCGGAGCUUGGAAGCUCUGCAGCCGGCCAGCCCCGGGCUUCGAGGGGGCGGGAGCCAACGCGCACCAGUUGCGGGCCGGGAGCGCGGUCCCCCUCCUUACUCUCUUUGCUCGUUUGUUUUAAUCUGUUUGUGCAAAAAUCUUGUCUGCGUUGGGCCUCUCUCCUUUAUUUUGUAUUCGGUAGCUCUCCAACUCCUGGCUUUUGCUCCCACCACCACCACCCUUUAUUUAAUUUUUUUAAAUAUUUUUAAUUUUUUUUUCUUCCUCCGUCUCUUGGACCUCAAUUCCAAACAUUUUCCAAACCAACAAAGAAAAGUUCGCACGCUGGCACCGCGGCCAGGACAGCCUGGCGCUCUGCUGCGGGUUCCCCCUACCCUUUCCUGGACACUUGACUCAACCUUGCAAGCAAGUGUGUAGAGUGUGUGGGUGUGGG
This 631-nucleotide long non-coding RNA is filed under the name Rattus norvegicus (Norway rat). Its description in RNAcentral is "long non-coding RNA NONRATT006831". Lineage: Eukaryota; Metazoa; Chordata; Mammalia; Rodentia; Muridae. The record is from RNAcentral.